GAUCUUGAAACUUCGCCGCACCCAGCUUACAUUUCAUCUGCCGGCUUAGCGGCCGGAUAUGGUGAUAAAUGUUGCCGUGAAAUAGGUUGCAUGGACCCGGGGGCGGUACCCGGCGGCUCCACCAAAAGGCGCCCGCACGAUAGCAGGGCGCCUCCUGAUGGGGCCGAAACAGCUUCGACAUGUGCUGAAAGACGGUGAUUUUGCCCGGCCUGAGGACGCCGUAAAACUGUUCAAACUCUAUAGAUGCCAACGAUAACGAGGCAUUUGCGAUUGCUGCGUAACUGAUGGCCUAACGGCUAAGGUUACUUAGACAAAAGCGGGGUUCGGGGCGCACCUUUCAACAGAAGCGCCAGUCC
RNAcentral lists this transfer-messenger RNA (356 nucleotides) under Pacificimonas flava. RNAcentral's name for it is "Alphaproteobacteria transfer-messenger RNA". It matches the Rfam family "Alphaproteobacteria transfer-messenger RNA". From Rfam's summary of the family: Bacterial tmRNA, also known as 10Sa RNA or SsrA, is named for its dual tRNA and mRNA-like properties. Lineage: Bacteria; Pseudomonadati; Pseudomonadota; Alphaproteobacteria; Sphingomonadales; Sphingosinicellaceae. The record is from Rfam by way of RNAcentral.